This 841-nucleotide long non-coding RNA is filed under the name Mytilus galloprovincialis (Mediterranean mussel). The record is from RNAcentral. Lineage: Eukaryota; Metazoa; Mollusca; Bivalvia; Mytilida; Mytilidae.
ACCACAUUUCUUUUUAUAGGUUAAAAUAAUUACACAUUUAGUAAAAUUCAUUGUUGAAAAUUCCCGGUACUAAUUAUAUAUAUAUAUAUAAUCAUAAGUUUUGUUUAGAAUUCAAAUUUAAACUUUUUUUAUAUAGAUUACCUCAUUUUAGUUGUAUAAUAUAUUAAUUUAUUUGGUGCUGGAUCAUUUUUGUUUAACAUUACAUCUUCCUUAAAAGAUCAACCAAUCAGAAAAUGGAAUACAGGGAAGUUAUAAAGUUGGACCAGAUAUUAGUGUUUGUCCAAUGAAUAACAUUGUCACAAAGCAAUGAUUAAUAUUUCCCACAACUUUUUUGGUUGACAAUAUGGCCAGUUAAAAUUUGAUUUAUUAUUGAAUUUGUUGGAACUCAGCACAUACUAUAUGUGAUUUUUUAAACAUUGAAUAUGCUUUAAUAUGACAUAAACAGUGCAAGAAGUCAGUUGAUAUUUUUUCAAGAACUGAUAUGUCAAUAGAAAUUUAAUUUCUAAUCAAUUAUUCGAGUUGUCAACUUAAGAAAUUUAAUACAGUUAUAAACAACAAUAACAUAACUUAUGUUAAAGAGCGAUUUUACUCUGCCUGAAUUAAUUUCUGUCAUGUUUAUGAUGAAUUUCUUAAAAAAUAGUUUGAUUCAAAUUGAUAUACACAUGUACAGCAUUGCAUGUUACUAACUUAAAAGCAGAAAAAAAUUAAUCAUGUUUAUAUGUAACUGUUUAACUGCACCUAUUUAAGUAUGUUCAUUGUCAAUGUUUUAAUUUAAGGAGAUUUUAUUUUUCUGGUUCAAGGAAGAUAACCCAAUGUUUCAUUUGCCUUACAAAUGAUGUAA